GUCUAUGGCCAUGCCACCCUGAACAAGCCUGACGUCUGAUCUCAGAAGCUAAGCAGGGUCAGGCCUGGUUAGUGCUUGGAUGGGAGACCACCUAGGAAGACCAGGUGCUGUAGGCU
This 116-nucleotide ribosomal RNA is filed under the name Pteropus alecto (black flying fox). The record is from RNAcentral. Lineage: Eukaryota; Metazoa; Chordata; Mammalia; Chiroptera; Pteropodidae.